CGCCUGUUUAACAAAAACAUGUCUUUUUGUUUAUAAUAUAAAGUCUAAUCUGCCCAUUGAUAAAAAUUAAAAGGCCGCGGUAUUUUGACCGUGCAAAGGUAGCAUAAUCAAUAGUUUCUUAAUUAGAAGCUUGAAUGAAUGAUUGAAUGAAAUAUAGACUGUCUUUAUAUAAUUGUUAUAGAAAUUAAUUUUUAAGUUAAAAAGCUUAAAUUAUUUUAGAGGACGAGAAGACCCUUUAAAGCUUUAUAUAAAAAUUAUAGGUAAGGAUUAAUAUUAUUUAAAUUACGUAUAGUUAUAUAUUUUAUUGGGGCGAUAGGAAAAUUUAUAAAACUUUUUUUUUUAUUAAAACAAUUAUUAUUGAAAAGUUGAUCCAUAAUUUGUGAUUAUAAGAUUAAGUUACUUAAGGGAUAACAGCGUAAUAUUUUUUGAGAGAACUAAUCGACAAAAAAGAUUGCGACCUCGAUGUUGGAUUAAGAUAAUUUUUAGGUGCAGAAGUUUAAAAAUUUGGUCUGUUCGACCAUUAUUUGUUACAUGAUCUGAGUUCAAACCGGAG
This 553-nucleotide ribosomal RNA is filed under the name Neopsylla bidentatiformis. Its description in RNAcentral is "partial 16S ribosomal RNA". It matches the Rfam family "Bacterial large subunit ribosomal RNA", at positions 1797 to 2621 of the family's 2925-position model. The record is from RNAcentral. Lineage: Eukaryota; Metazoa; Arthropoda; Insecta; Siphonaptera; Ctenophthalmidae.